GAUGAAGAACUUAGCGAAAUGCGAUACGUAAUGUGAAUUGCAGAAUUCAGUGAAUCAUCGAGUCUUUGAACGCACAUUGCGCCCCCUGGUAUUCCGGGGGGCAUGCCUGUCCGAGCGUCAUUGCUGCCCUCAAGCACGGCUUGUGUGUUGGGCCUCCGCCCUCCUCCCGGGGGACGGGCCCGAAAGGCAGCGGCGGCACCGCGUCCGGUCCUCGAGCGUAUGGGGCUUCGUCACCCGCUCUUGUAGGCCCGGCCGGCGCUUGCCGACACAUCAAUCUUUUUUCCAGGUUGACCUCGGAUCAGGUAGGGAUACCCGCUGAACUUAAGCAUAUCAAUAAGCGGAGGA
Molecule: unclassified non-coding RNA, 345 nt
Filed under: soil metagenome
Description: partial contains 5.8S ribosomal RNA, internal transcribed spacer 2, and large subunit ribosomal RNA
Rfam family: 5.8S ribosomal RNA (bases 1-120)
Source: RNAcentral